GUGGAUGGAGAGGACUCGCAUGGGAGGUAUUUUCGCAGCUCCAAGUCUCAGGGAAGCUGAAUUGAAGUCUAGUGAGCUGGUUUGAGAUGGUUUAAAGCACCAAUUGAGGAGUGGUUUUGCUGUAAUUCUUCACCCCAAAGUCAGAGUUAAAGCCUUCGAGGUUUUCAAAUUAAGUUGAGCUGAAUUUGUGACCUUGGGGACUGGUUUAGAGGGUGUUUCAACCUGGGCGAGGCUGCGAUUGACUUUCAGAUUAUCUUUGGCUGA
Long non-coding RNA from Ananas comosus (pineapple), 264 nucleotides. RefSeq lists it as uncharacterized. NCBI's taxonomy places the organism in Eukaryota, Viridiplantae, Streptophyta, Magnoliopsida, Poales, Bromeliaceae. The transcript is spliced from 4 exons. The record is from RefSeq and is a predicted model, not a curated record.